Molecule: ribosomal RNA, 468 nt
Filed under: uncultured bacterium
Lineage: Bacteria
Description: partial 16S ribosomal RNA
Rfam family: Bacterial small subunit ribosomal RNA
Source: RNAcentral
GACGAACGCUGGCGGCGUGCUUAACACAUGCAAGUCGAACGGAAAGGCCCUGCUUUUGUGGGGUGCUCGAGUGGCGAACGGGUGAGUAACACGUGAGUAACCUGCCCUUGACUUUGGGAUAACUUCAGGAAACUGGGGCUAAUACCGGAUAGGAGCUCCUGCUGCAUGGUGGGGGUUGGAAAGUUUCGGCGGUUGGGGAUGGACUCGCGGCUUAUCAGCUUGUUGGUGGGGUAGUGGCUUACCAAGGCUUUGACGGGUAGCCGGCCUGAGAGGGUGACCGGCCACAUUGGGACUGAGAUACGGCCCAGACUCCUACGGGAGGCAGCAGUGGGGAAUAUUGCACAAUGGGCGGAAGCCUGAUGCAGCAACGCCGCGUGCGGGAUGACGGCCUUCGGGUUGUAAGCCGCUUUCGCCUGUGGCGAAGCGUGAGUGACGGUAAUGGGUAAAGAAGCACCGGCUAACUACGUG